CUCAGAGGAAGAGAAUGGGAGACAAAGGACCUGGUGAUUAGACCCCCAAGACACUGGGCUGUCUGCUUGUGUCUCGGGUGGAACAGGCCCAGCGAGAGUCUUUAGGGCCAGAACUCAAGAAUUUAUUGAGCCCUUGUUCUAGGCACUUGGGAUUCACCAGUAUACAAUGGAGACAAAAAUCCCUGCCCUGGAGCAGCUUACAUUCUAGCAUGGCAAACAGGCAGUAAACAGCCCAUUCUGGCUGCUGUAUUGAGAAGAGAAUGUGGUGGACAGAUAUAGAAGCAUGGAAACCUGAUAGGGCUAUUGCAAUCACUCAGAAAAGAGGCGAUGGCAGCUUGGACCUGUUGGAAGCAGUAGAGUGCUUCCAGGGAGGAGAAAGGACCUGAAGGUUAAUUUGAUCACCAAUGGCCAAUGAUGUAAUCAGUUAUGCCUAUGUAAUGAAGCUUCCGUAAAAACCAAAAGGAUUGGGUUUGAUUGAGCUUCUGGAUAGCUAAACAUGUGGAAGUUCCUGGAGGAUGGUGGUCCUAAACAGGGUAUGGAAGCUCCAUGCCCUUUCCUAUAUGCCUUACACUAUCCAUCUAUUCCACCUGGCUGUUUAACUGUAUCCUUUGUAAUAUCCUUUAUAAUAAGUGGGUAAAAGUAAGUAAAGUGUUUAUCUGAGUUCUCUGAGCAGUUCUAGAAAAUUAAUCAAACCUAAGGAGGGGGUUGUUGGAAUUCCUGAUUUAUAGCCAGUUCUUCAGAGGUAUAGGUGACAACCUGCUAUUUGUGACUGGCAUUGGAAGUAGGAAGAAGUCUUAUGGGACUGAGCCCUCAACCUAUGGAGGCUGAUGCUACAUCCAGGUUACCAGAAAAUUUAAAGUUACGCCAGUCACUCCCAUUCUAUUGCUGAGAGAAAAUACAGAGCGGUGAAGAGCUUACAGUCGGACCGCGCUGCACGCCGGCGGCAGCCAUGGCGGAUGUGUCAGAGAGGACACUGCAGUUGUCCGUGCUAGUAGCCUUCGCUUCUGGAGUACUCCUGGGCUGGCAGGCGAACCGACUGCGGAGGCGCUACUUGGACUGGAGGAAAAGGAGGCUGCAGGACAAGCUGGCGGCGACGCAGAAGAAGCUGGACCUGGCCUGAGACUCUGCGCCUUCCGCCCCAUUCUGUCCCCCUCAUGGCCACCUUGCCAUGUCCGCGCCGGAGCCCCGGUCCGCCGGCGCCCAGAACCAGGCUUGCCACACAGUCCCCGCCUGCCAUGGCCGGCUCUUCCUGGAGUGUUG
This 1260-nucleotide long non-coding RNA is filed under the name Homo sapiens (human). RNAcentral's name for it is "non-protein coding lnc-SMIM37-1:5". The record is from RNAcentral. Lineage: Eukaryota; Metazoa; Chordata; Mammalia; Primates; Hominidae.